AGCAGCCGCGGUAAUUCCAGCUCCAAUAGCGUAUAUUAAAGUUGUUGCAGUUAAAAAGCUCGUAGUUGAAUUUCGGGGUCAGCAGGUUGGUCGUGCCAAUGGUAUGCACUGGCCUUGCUGAUUCCUCCCUCUUGAUGAGCUGUAAUGCCAUUAAUUUGGUGUUGCGGGGAAUCAGGACUGUUACUUUGAAAAAUUAGAGUGUUUAAAGCAGGCAAGCGCUUGAAUACAUUAGCAUGGAAUAAUGAAAUAGGACGUUUGAUCCUAUUUUGUUGGUUUCUAGGAUUGACGUAAUGAUUAAUAGGGAUAGUUGGGGCAUUAGUAUUCAAUUGUCAGAGGUGAAAUUCUUGGAUUUAUUGAAGACUAACUACUGCGAAA
This 375-nucleotide ribosomal RNA is filed under the name uncultured Glomeromycotina. RNAcentral describes it as "SSU rRNA". It matches the Rfam family "Eukaryotic small subunit ribosomal RNA", at positions 569 to 950 of the family's 1831-position model. Lineage: Eukaryota; Fungi; Glomeromycota. The record is from RNAcentral.